GACGAACGCUGGCGGCGUGCUUAACACAUGCCAGUCGAACGGAAAGGCCCUGCUUUUGUGGGGUGCUCGAGUGGCGAACGGGUGAGUAACACGUGAGUAACCUGCCCUUGACUUUGGGAUAACUUCAGGAAACUGGGGCUAAUACCGGAUAGGAGCUCCUGCUGCAUGGUGGGGGUUGGAAAGUUUCGGCGGUUGGGGAUGGACUCGCGGCUUAUCAGCUUGUUGGUGGGGUGGUGGCCUACCAAGGCUUUGACGGGUAGCCGGCCUGAGAGGGUGACCGGCCACAUUAGGACUGAGAGACGGCCCAGACUCCUACGGGGGACGGCGGUGGGGAGUAUUGCGCAAUGGGCGGAAGCCUGAUGCAGCGAAGCCGCGUGCGGAAUGACGGCCUUCGGGUUGUGAACAGUUUUCGCCUGUGACGAGGAGUGAGUGACGGUAAUGGGUAAAGAAGCACCGGCUAACUACGUG
Molecule: ribosomal RNA, 468 nt
Filed under: uncultured bacterium
Lineage: Bacteria
Description: partial 16S ribosomal RNA
Rfam family: Bacterial small subunit ribosomal RNA
Source: RNAcentral